RNAcentral lists this ribosomal RNA (258 nucleotides) under uncultured archaeon. Its description in RNAcentral is "partial 16S ribosomal RNA". It matches the Rfam family "Archaeal small subunit ribosomal RNA", at positions 748 to 1005 of the family's 1478-position model. The record is from RNAcentral.
CAGCCGUAAACAAUGUGCGUUAGGUGUGUCGGUAACCACGCGUUACUGAUGCGCCGAAGAGAAAUCGUAAAACGCACCACCUGGGAAGUACGGUCGCAAGGCUGAAACUUAAAGGAAUUGGCGGGGGAGCACCACAACAGGUGGAGCCUGCGGUUUAAUUGGAUUCAACGCCGGACAUCUCACCGGAUAAGACAGCUGAAUGAUUGUCAAUCUGAAGGUUUUACAUGACUAGCUGAGAGGAGGUGCAUGGCGUCAGUG